GAGUAUUGCAUGGAUUAUUUUUGUGAUUCCGUCGGUCCGUGGUAAGGUGAAACAAAAUACCAGAUUCUUAUGCAGAGGAAUAUUCUGAUUUAGAGGAUGAAGAGGACUUUGAUGAAAAACUUCCAGACAGAAAUGCAAAGGUUGUAACAGUAAAAGUAAAUUCCCUUUGUACAGACCUCAUCAUCAAAUCAGGACUUUCUGUGGCACGAAACAGACUGGGAAAGUGUGUGGUCAGAUCCUUAAAAAUCUGAGUACAGCCAAAGAAGAGAAUCUGAUUUGGAAGUUGACCCUCAGAUGCUAUGCAAGCAGAUUUUAAUGACAAGAAAUCUGUUGAAGAAGACACCAAGUAUGCAGAAGUGUUGCUUGUGGCUGACAAAAACUUCUUGCAGCCUGGAAUGGCACCGACAAUGAGCAAUAUCGUUUCACAGCUAUGAACGUGGUAAAACAGUUUUUUUUUAUCUGUGUGUGAUAGAACUGAAAUUCUGCUGCUUUCACAGUGCUGAAUGACACUGUGAUUGCAAGACUCAAUAUUUGAUAUGCAUUGCCAUGUAAAACGUAAUUAGCUAAUCCCACAGAGUGGAGUACUUCUUCAGAUGCUGAUAAUCACUCAAAUAGUCACGUAAAUCCCCACCUUCUAGAACCUGAACCACAUCCUCAGACAGUCAAGUCAGAUCCAUACUGUCACACACUGUUUAUUUAUCAUUCAGUUUAAUACUGCUCCUCUUUAAUCUGACUAGUAUUUUUAAAUUACUAUUACAAUAACUGUUAAUCAGUGUUUAUUUAGGGUUUAAUCACUGCGGGGGCAACCACACUGCAAACUACAGAGGUUGCAGUAAGUGGAAGGAAGCGAAGGCGGCCGCUGCAAAGCGUGCGAGAGGGGAACGCGGCCGAAAGGACGGUGUCUCCACGCGCCUGCCAGCGCCCUCAUUGGUGCCAGCUAAGCCUUCUCCGGAACAGGAGAACCUGGGCCCUGGCUGGAACCACGUGGUCCGUGGUGGCCGCGUCGUCAAGGCUGAGGCACGAAGAACCCCGCCCCAACGCCGUCCGGCGCUAUUGCACGGACUGAGCGGCAGGCUGUGCCUAAGGACGGCAAUGCUAAGCCCGCUCGUCCUGUAGUGCCGGUGGGGUAUCCCGCCGCACCCGCUCCCAAGAAGACUGUCCCCGCCCCACCUAAGGGUCAGUCCCCGCUCCAGGGCAUCUCAGAUCUCCUGGAGAACCUCCCGACCCAGGCCUGCGACGAGUAGAUACGCCGUCUACUCGGCGCGGCCCCUUCCUUCCCAUCCGGGGAGGCCCGUCCGCGGGACGUCCUCAAAACCGUUAUCCUCUUCGUAGCCGAGUAUGACUGCACGGCCUAGGAGACACGGUGGUAAGGUUUUGCGGCUGGUUUAUUGGAACGCCGACGGUGUUCGCGGCAGGUAGCUGGGGCUGGAACAGUUCCUCGGUGACCACGGAGUCGAAGUUUGCCUCCUGAACGCGACUCAUCUCACGUCGGGUCGGGCCUUGAGGUUCGCGAACUAUGUUUGCCACCGGACGGACCUCCCGACGCAGGGGGAGACAUUAGUUAAACGUAUGCGAACGUUAUGUAUUAAAAUGUGUAAAUAAAUAUAUCAAUGCGUUAUAUUAA
Zootermopsis nevadensis is the source of this 1624-nucleotide long non-coding RNA. RefSeq lists it as uncharacterized. The record is from RefSeq and is a predicted model, not a curated record. NCBI's taxonomy places the organism in Eukaryota, Metazoa, Arthropoda, Insecta, Blattodea, Termopsidae.